Long non-coding RNA from Drosophila biarmipes, 260 nucleotides. RefSeq lists it as uncharacterized. The record is from RefSeq and is a predicted model, not a curated record. The transcript is spliced from 3 exons. NCBI's taxonomy places the organism in Eukaryota, Metazoa, Arthropoda, Insecta, Diptera, Drosophilidae.
UUUAUGUUAUAUUUGCCAAACACAAACCAAUCAGGAGCAGUAAGUGCCCACACAGUCACCUGUCGAGCAGGACAUUUAUCGCUGGCUUCACUGUGUGAGUGGUCGGGUGUGAGUGUGUGGGGAGCACUUUGUUGCUUAAUUGAUUUUAAUACAAGUACCCCGCUCCUUUUGCGCCAUCGGUCCUCAAAUGCAGCAGCUGCCUGUCCAUUUCCCAUUUCCAUUUCCGUUUGCAAUUGCAGGGAGGGCACAGGCCAAGGAUG